GGACAUAAAAUCAUCUUCCACAGAACAAAUAUGUUGUUCAAUUGUAUCAGAAACGACAAAAAUAAGAUUAACCGAGCCUGUCUCUCCGGAGUAUACCAGAUUCCUUUCUUUGAUAAUGACACCAAUACUAAUGAGAAGUAUAUUGGUUAUAUAACACGCUCUCUUAAAAGGAGGAUCCAAGAACACAAGAAAGACCUGGAGAGUAGCGCUGCUACUAUGGCUUUAGUGCAAUGGGUGCUUGUAUCUGAUUUAGAGGUUGAUUGAUCCAGUAGUAAACUCUUGCAUAAGGAGCACAACCCUAAGAGAGGAAGAAUUACAGAAACAGUGGUGAUCUACACCAACCGUAGUAGGAAAAUUAAACCAAUUAAUAAGUUGGAGCCAGCAUCAUUGAAUAUGACUUGGAAAUGGUGCAAUAUUUCUGGAAAUGAGUGAAUGGGUAGUAAAUGAACUUUGAGAAAAAGCAGACAUCGCAGUAUUUGGUUGGCAGCAGAUUAAUUGUUUUUCUUCGACCUAUUUUGCUCGUGUAUUAUUAAUAUAAUUUUUCACUACGUUACUUUUUCAGCAAUUUGUAAUAUCUUACUAUAUCUAUAUAUCAAACAGCUAUUUGUGAGGAC
This 614-nucleotide long non-coding RNA is filed under the name Androctonus crassicauda. Lineage: Eukaryota; Metazoa; Arthropoda; Arachnida; Scorpiones; Buthidae. The record is from RNAcentral.